AGCUCAGUUGGUAGAGUGUUUGCCUUGCAUGCACAAGGCCCUGGGCUCAAUCCCCAG
This 57-nucleotide transfer RNA is filed under the name Ictidomys tridecemlineatus (thirteen-lined ground squirrel). Its description in RNAcentral is "Spermophilus tridecemlineatus (thirteen-lined ground squirrel) tRNA". It matches the Rfam family "tRNA", at positions 9 to 63 of the family's 71-position model. Rfam says of the family: Transfer RNA (tRNA) molecules are approximately 80 nucleotides in length. Their secondary structure includes four short double-helical elements and three loops (D, anti-codon, and T loops). Lineage: Eukaryota; Metazoa; Chordata; Mammalia; Rodentia; Sciuridae. The record is from Rfam by way of RNAcentral.